Molecule: ribosomal RNA, 401 nt
Filed under: Acanthopagrus australis (surf bream)
Lineage: Eukaryota; Metazoa; Chordata; Actinopteri; Spariformes; Sparidae
Description: 12S ribosomal RNA
Source: RNAcentral
CAAAGGUUUGGUCCUGACUUUUCUGCCAGCUCUAGCUAAACUUACACAUGCAAGUAUCCGCAUCCCCGUGAGAAUGCCCUGUAGUUCCCUGCCCGGAAACAAGGAGCCGGUAUCAGGCACAUUUAAUUUAGCCCACGACACCUUGCUCAGCCACACCCUCAAGGGUACUCAGCAGUGAUAAACAUUGACACAUAAGUGAAAACUUGACUCAGUCAAAGCUAAGAAGGGCCGGUAAAACUCGUGCCAGCCACCGCGGUUAUACGGGAGGCCCAAGUUGUUAGAAGUCGGCGUAAAGGGUGGUUAAGAACAAGACUAAGAUUAAAGCCGAACAUCUUCCGAGCUGUUAUACGCAUCCGAAGAUAAGAAGCUCAACUGCGAAAGUAGCUUUAUAUAUUCCGAAU